RNAcentral lists this ribosomal RNA (457 nucleotides) under uncultured bacterium. RNAcentral describes it as "partial 16S ribosomal RNA". It matches the Rfam family "Bacterial small subunit ribosomal RNA", at positions 338 to 795 of the family's 1533-position model. The record is from RNAcentral.
GCUACGGGAGGCAGCAGUGGGGAAUAUUGCACAAUGGGCGCAAGCCUGAUGCAGCGACGCCGCGUGCGGGAUGGAGGCCUUCGGGUUGUAAACCGCUUUUGUUCAAGGGCAAGGCACGGUCUUUGGCCGUGUUGAGUGGAUUGUUCGAAUAAGCACCGACUAACUACGUGCCAGCAGCCGCGGUAAUACGGAGGAUGCGAGCGUUAUCCGGAUUUAUUGGGUUUAAAGGGUGCGUAGGCGGGCAUUUAAGCCGGCGGUCAAAUGUCGGGGCUCAACCCCGGCCUGCCGUCGUAACUGGGUGCCUUGAGUGGGCGAGAAGUAUGCGGAAUGCGUGGUGUAGCGGUGAAAUGCAUAGAUAUCACGCAGAACCCCGAUUGCGAAGGCAGCAUACCGGCGCCCUACUGACGCUGAGGCACGAAAGUGCGGGUAUCGAACAGGAUUAGAUACCCCUGUAGUC